UUUCUUUCAUGAAUUAAGUGCCCUCACACAAUCAACGAGAGUAGUCCCACACAGUACAAUCUAAGAAUAAUUAGGAACUCAAGAUAGAAAAAUUCACUCACUUUGAGAAAUAACAUUCAUUUGCCACAAAAUAUGCAUCAUAAGCUUUCCCGUAAUGUACUACUCUACUAAUCAAGCUCAUUCAGUCUAGGAUUAAGUAGGACUUUCUUUGGCUGUAAUGUAGGUUGAGGGACGGGUAGGAUACAUUUAUAAG
RNAcentral lists this long non-coding RNA (253 nucleotides) under Nicotiana benthamiana. RNAcentral describes it as "long non-coding RNA (NBEN_LNC014943)". The record is from RNAcentral. Lineage: Eukaryota; Viridiplantae; Streptophyta; Magnoliopsida; Solanales; Solanaceae.